UUCACUUUCACCCUCUAAUCUACAACUAGUGGAUACUUUGCAACUAGAAGACUGAACAUCUAGUUUCUAACUUCUAAGUGAUGAUUCGGAGUACAAGCUUGCAUUCAUCAUCAGGGCCAACUGUUUUAAACUUAAAGCCCCAAUAAAAAAGAAAAUCAUAGAAAGAUUUUCAAGGGUUAGCAGUUUGCUAAAAUACACGGAAACCAACUUGCGGAUUUGCGAGACUUCAUAUCAGCUUCAAGGGUUUGUCGUUUGCAAACUCUCUGUGUGUGAAAGUGCCGAAGCAGCCCAACCUGUGGAUUUGGCCGAGACUUCUGCAGUGGUAGACUAGUAAAGUAGUAGUUUUUUAGGGAUUAAUUUCGGAUUGGAGUAGCUUUUAGUGAUUAAGUUUGGAUUGGAGUGUGGUCUCAAGUUUGUGAAGAAGACGAUUGGAAUGAAAUUGGAGAAAGCGGUUAGUUUGCCUCUCUUAUGUGCCCAAAUUUUCCCCUUUUUUUAAAAUUAUUUCUUUAUUUUUAAAGAGAGGGCCGGUUGUGGGCUAGAGGCUCCAGCCCAUAAAAAAAUAUUGAAAUUGAUGAGAGUUUGACAGUUGGUCGUUUCCGAGGCCGUGAUCGACAAGUACAACCGAAUGUUUCCCGAUAUUUUCAUGCUAUGUAGCUAUUAUUUUGACACGUGC
This 673-nucleotide long non-coding RNA is filed under the name Olea europaea (common olive). RNAcentral describes it as "long non-coding RNA (OEUR_LNC014374)". The record is from RNAcentral. Lineage: Eukaryota; Viridiplantae; Streptophyta; Magnoliopsida; Lamiales; Oleaceae.